Molecule: ribosomal RNA, 441 nt
Filed under: uncultured bacterium
Lineage: Bacteria
Description: bacterial SSU rRNA
Rfam family: Bacterial small subunit ribosomal RNA
Source: RNAcentral
AGCGAACGUUUGCGGCGGGCUUAACACAUGCAAGUCGAACGAGAAUCCCUUCGGGGAGGAAAGUGGCGCACGGGUGCGUAACACGUGGAUAACCAACCCAUUGGUUUGGGACAACACCGGGAAACUGGUGCUAAUACCAGAUGUGUCGCAGCUGUCUUCAGGCGGUUGCGAGAAAGGCCCGCAAGGGUCGCCAACGGACGGGUCCGCGUCCCAUCAGCUAGUUGGUGAGGUAAUGGCUCACCAAGGCAAAGACGGGUAGCUGGUCUGAGAGGAUGAUCAGCCACACUGGAACUGAGACACGGUCCAGACUCCUACGGGAGGCAGCAGUGGGGAAUAUUGCGCAAUGGGCGAAAGCCUGACGCAGCCACGCUGCGUGAGCGAUGAAGGUCUUCGGAUCGUAAAGCUCUGUGGGGGGAGAAGAAGAAGCCGGUGAAGAGCCGG